RNAcentral lists this unclassified non-coding RNA (4951 nucleotides) under Daphnia pulex (common water flea). Its description in RNAcentral is "aminopeptidase N-like, transcript variant X8". Lineage: Eukaryota; Metazoa; Arthropoda; Branchiopoda; Diplostraca; Daphniidae. The record is from RNAcentral.
GACGCUUAGACGGUGGACAGGUUCAGUCGGAAAGACGAGAAAUUGAGGUUGCUUUACUUUACUCUUCAUAUGGAUUCUGUCCUAUGGAACAUUUGUUAUUUAUGCUGUAUAAACUGUAAAGUAGGGAAGAUAAAAAAACUCAAUUUGUUUUCUACGUUAAUCAUAAUAUGUUGGUUUAGGGGGGGGCACAAAGUGCAUCAAAAAAUUUUGAGAAAACAGUUUUUGUGUUGGAUCUUAUUUAAUGAGAAACUUGCAACGUUAGCUACUACCUCUAUUCCCAAACAGCUGUGGCAGAUUUAGAUGAUUUCCAUGCAUAUCCACUUCCACUGCUCCAUGAAAAUGUAAUUUUGGUAAUACUUGAUCUGAACGUCAUCUCUAUAAUUUACCCAUCCUCCUACUAAAAGAUGACCAAUACUUCAACAGGCAAUAAGAAAGCACACAGCAAUGAGACCGCAAUGUAAUUAUUCCAUUAUUGGUAUUACGUCAGAUACCCUUUCUACAACCAGCCCGAUGACCAGCAGCACUUUGAAAAGUCACGAAGUCACUCGAAGAGUCAACGAAGUCUAAAACUACCUGGGCGCAAGUAAUUCCUCACGUAGGAGCCCCCACGUCAUUUUCUCUCUGCACUCUGCAGCCCAUCGCCGCAGUUAACCGCAACAAGUUCCUUUCUGCUGUUCUCCGCCUGAUCCUCAAUGCCACUGAGACCACCGAGAUCCGUAUCGCCGCCGUCUCCACCAUGUUCCACUGUUGGUUCCACGUCGGGCACCCUUUCUACAACCAGCAGUACGAUGACAAGCAGCACUUCGAGAAGUCUUUUACAAAGUUGAAAACUACUUCGGCGCAAGUAAUACCAACAACCACGUUGGUAAGCUGAGUAAAAAUCAGGAAAGACGACUCGAUAAUAUCCAGGCGUUCAAUCAUGACUAUAAUCAUCAAGGGCUCAAGGCGUUGAUGUCAGUAAUUGAGACCAGGUGGGGAAUCAAUACUUGAGAGACUACACAAAAAAGAAAUAAAAGAUGGAUGAUGCCAAAUGCUUGGGUUGGCCGCCCAUAUUGAAGUAAUCGUCAAUCUGAUGCCCUUUGAACCAAUAUACGUAAGUGAAGAAGAAGCAGCAACAGCUGCCCUAUCUUUAAAAGUGAUCUCCAGUUUAAUACAGCUGCCGAAAUGGUCAGACACGGAUCAUGAACUUAAUUCGCCCGUUUAGUGUCACUAAUUUGCCAUUAUUUGUUUGAACGCAUGCAAAGCAUUGGACUCCAACAUCCCCACAAUUAACCGACACAAUUAACCGAAAUUCGGACGCUAUAUUCUUGCCGGAAGGGACAACAGAUAUUCUACCGGGUUCGCCAUCUCUCAUAUCGGUCUAUUACAGCGGUAAUCAAAGUACAACGGCGUAUACAAGAUUGUUCAGACUCGUCCAACGGUACGUAAUUGAUCUGGCUUAUCUCAUGUUUAUUCUAUCUUAAAUUCUACAUUGCAUUAGUGUUAUUAGAUGUGUUGAGUAAGAGUUAGAUUUUGUUUGGUUAGAUUGUGACGUUGGUAAAUGUGUAUGUUAUACAGCCAGACUUGGAAAUAGUAGUGACAGAUUUGGGGAUCAACCAACAUGAAGAGAGAUUUGAAAGCAGGGAGCAGGAAUUUGGUUUGAUCUAUAUCCGGAAGUUCAUUAUAGCUGGAGGCUGAGAGUGUUGUGGAAUCUUAUAUCUUCCAUGUCUUUAUCCAUUUUUCUUCCAGGUUUUGCUUACUCUUAAGUGUAUCAAUUGAAAAAGAAAUCCCGGAGAGAAUCAAAUAUCUCGGCCAGUGUAAGUCGAACGCAAUUUUUUGCAUCCUCGCAAGAUCAUCGUAUGGUUUCUUUCCUCCCCUAUUACUUGCUCAUACCAACUGAUAAACUGUCCCGGGAGGAUCUCCUGAAGGAGAGCCCCAGCAUCAAGACCAAUCAUUUGGUUGGCGUCAGCUGCGGUGGCAAGAAACUGCGAACUGGCAAAGACCCACCCCGAGAUGAUCGUUGUCUUGAGCACUCCGCCCAACACCAACUUUAUCCCUGCCAUUGGGCGUCUUAUUCCUCACGUCGGAGCGGCUCCGUUCCUCACGCCGUCUGCCCCCACGUCAUCUUCUCUCUGCAGCCCAUCGCCGCAGUUAACCGCAACAAGUUCCUUUCUGCUGUUCUCCGCCUGAUCCUCAAUGCCACUGAGACCACCGAGAUCCGUAUCGCCGCCGUCUCCACCAUGUUCCACGAGUUGAAACAAACAUAGUUUUGAUUGUUUGCUGACCUAGAAACUCAUUUUGACGUGACAAAAGAUAGCUGCUGAAUUGAAGCUACAUCAAGAUUCAAGCUACACGCAAGCCCUUCCAAUUGUUCAAUCACGUUUUUUAUUUUAAGUUUAAUUCAUUCAGCACAUUUUUAAAUUUCGUUAAAUAAUUUUUAUUUUUCUAAUUAAGAUGAUCAAGACUUAAAGAAAAUAGUAUAAUUGAGAUCAAAUUGAUCUAUAGACAUUUUCAUCCACACGAAAUUCGGGGAAGAGGGAUAUGACGUGAUUCACGUUUAGUCCAGCAAACCCGUGACGACUCUUCUGUCGGGGCUGACGGUCCCUCCCGUCUUGGCAGGAGGCAGCAGCAGCAACGAGCCGAACUCGACGGCCCUGGCCGCCUACGAGGCGGACAAGAGUCCGAUGGCUCUGACAAGUCCCAGUCAGGAGAAGAAUUCGGCGGAAGGGCUGGGCCCGUCAAGCUGUUAUGUUUUUCCUAAUUGUUUAUGGUGUACAGAAUGUGGGCGGCGGGGCCGGCACCCAGGCCACGGCGCCUAGACGCAACGAGGAGGAGCCUUACGUCAUCCUGAAAGUGACGCAGGAUUGCACGUCGGAGACGGUCAUUCGCAAGGCCCUGAGAAGGAGGAAGAGGAAGAAGAGGAAGGCCCAUUUUGAUUUCUAAUUUUCUAAUGUUCCCGCGCGACAAGAUUUACAAAUUUUCGAAGAUUAAAGGCGCGAUAACCGCACGAGCUGGAACGUUACGUCCUGGUGGAAGAACGUGACCUGUGCCCGUCGCUGGGCCGGCACAGACGGUUGCUUAGAGACGACGACAAUGUGCACCAGGUACAAGCCAGGUGGACGACACUGGGCCGUUACGUGGCGGUCGAGCGAGGGCGCAUACGGGCCCGCAACGGAAACGUCGACUGAAACGACAAGAUUGGCCCGACAACGCCAGAAAUGAGCCGAAAUAAAAACUGGGGCCAUGCUCCGGGCCUCCCUCUUCACCCGGCGACUCCAGGCCACAAAAACCAAAAAGCCCAGGUGAAGGAGAUGUACAGCGAUCCAGGGCUGGGCCAGAGCAGCCGAUCCCGCGAGCGCAUCCGCUCCGAUUCCAGUUUGGUUCGCGACGGAGUGCAGGCGUCUGGCAGCCACGCCCACCACCACCACCACAAUUAAUUAGAUCUCACAAUCCUACCCCGUUUUGAUGUCGUCGCCAAAUCGACGGAAAUCCCGUUCCCUUCCGUUUCUCUAUUAAGCAACAAUCCACGUUGGACUAUCUAGACUUUUGGGAGGAUAUGUACAGCGGUCACACAAUAAGGUCACUUCCUUUUUUUUUUUUUUUUAAAUUUCAAAUUUAAUUUGACACAUGUGCCCAGAAGGGACAUAUCCGAGAGUGUGGCUCACGCCCGAACGUCCGACUUUGGAGAUUCCUUAUUUCCCUCAGGCAUUGAACCGAGACGGACCAGCAGAAGACCAAGAAUCGGACACUUGGAUUCUCGUUAACGGCCAAUUCGCCAGCUACCGUCGAGUGUUGUACGACAAAGCCAAUUGGCGACUGAUCUCCAAUCAGCUGAUGCUCAAUCACACCGUCAUCUCGAAAGUGACUCGGGCUCAAUUGAUUGACGACGCUUUCACGCUGGCCCUGCCCGGAUAUUUGGACUAUCAAGUGGUUGUUGAACUCAUCGAGUAUCUGACUUUGGUCAACGACGAGUUCGUCCAGUCUACCAGUUGAUUCCAUUUGAAAUUGAUCCAGGAACGGUCGAGACACAACGAAUCGCUUUAUAAUCUGUUCAAUCACGAUCGAAAGAUCAUGGAUCAUUUCAUUCUUUAUCACAGGAAUGCACCAGUAGAUUCAAGUUCGAGAAAACGGACCAUGGAGAGCCGGGCGACUUCAGCGACUGGAUCCGAGUUGGUGAUCCGUUGGAUGGAGUUGGCUGCCUAAACUGGAGUGACGACGGUGUGUGUGUCGAUCAGGUCAUGCGCCUCUUUCACGCUCAAAUGAACGGCUCAAUUACCCCCGAAGAGAAAAAGGCAAUGACGGAACAUUUGGAGCGCAAUUGGUGUGCGGUGAUUCGCUACGGUGGUAAGGAAGAAUGGAACUGGGCGUGGCGAGCUAGUCUUUGCGACAUGUGGUCGUCACAGCGAACAAAGAUUUUAUCGGCCAUGAGCUGCAGUCAAGAUCGUGAUCGUUUGAAACAGCUUCUUUCUCGCGUGUUUUCGCCGACCAUCGAACAGGACCCGCACGACACGUUCGCCACCAUUGAGAAAAUGACGGAAAAUCACGUCGCUUGUUCCAUGGUGUUGAACUUUUUGGCGACCAACUGGGAGAUCCUAGGGCGACAUUUUAGAAGAUCUGGCGAUAAUUUGAAGCUGCUAACCUCCGCCGCCAAAUUUUGUGAGUACACCAGACGAAUUGAAAGAGAUGUCCCAGAUUUUAUCCGACCUGGAAACUCAAUCGCGCUCUCUCGGACGGGAUUCUGGAGGUCAUCCGCAACAAUAUUCGCUUGGCUGAGUAGAAUUUGGAACAAGUCUAUUUUGCUAUCGAAUCUUUGAUAAUGACACGUCGUUCGACAAAUUCACUCGCCCAGACUAACUGCAUUCCGUAAGCUGUCAAAGCUGUUUUGUGUUUUGCUGCUUGUCCUGAUUUCUUCAUCGUUUUUUAUUUUCAUCGUUUUUACCGUUUGUUAAUUAAAUAUAGAAAUAUUCGGGUA